AAUGAAGCAAAUAAAUGAAGAGGAGGACAAAAAAAAUACCCACAAUGGAGGAUCUGAGUGGGGCAAGACAUGACAAUGCGGUUGUGCUUCUUUCCGAAGGUUGUUGCGGUUAAGGAAGGCGGAGUCGCGACAGUUUAUAAGAGAAUGAAGGCGGAGUCGCAGUGGUUCACGAGAGAGGGGGGUGGAGCGUCAGAUUCUAUCGACAAUGAUGGUGGUCACAUUUUG
This 225-nucleotide long non-coding RNA is filed under the name Lathyrus oleraceus (garden pea). Its description in RNAcentral is "Pisum sativum (pea) long non-coding RNA (PSAT_LNC015122)". Lineage: Eukaryota; Viridiplantae; Streptophyta; Magnoliopsida; Fabales; Fabaceae. The record is from RNAcentral.